UCAGCCCUACGGGGCGCAGCAGUGAGGAAUAUUGGUCAAUGGGCGCAAGCCUGAACCAGCCAAGUCGCGUGAGGGAUGACGGUCCUAUGGAUUGUAAACCUCUUUUGUCGGGGAGCAAGGCCCGCCACGUGUGGCGGGAAGGAGAGUACCCGAAGAAAAAGCAUCGGCUAACUCCGUGCCAGCAGCCGCGGUAAUACGGAGGAUGCGAGCGUUAUCCGGAUUUAUUGGGGUUAAAGGGUGCGUAGGCGGGGGGUUAAGGCAGCGGUCAAAUGUCGGGGCUCAACACCGGCCUGCCGGUGAAACUG
RNAcentral lists this ribosomal RNA (305 nucleotides) under uncultured bacterium. RNAcentral's name for it is "bacterial SSU rRNA". It matches the Rfam family "Bacterial small subunit ribosomal RNA", at positions 333 to 635 of the family's 1533-position model. The record is from RNAcentral.